Ochotona princeps (American pika) is the source of this 135-nucleotide small nuclear RNA. RefSeq annotates it as U4 spliceosomal RNA. The transcript has a single exon. Lineage: Eukaryota; Metazoa; Chordata; Mammalia; Lagomorpha; Ochotonidae. The record is from RefSeq and is a predicted model, not a curated record.
AACUUUGCUCAGUGGCAGUAUCAUAGCCAAAGAGGUUUAUCUGAGGCAUGUUUAUUGCUAAUUGAAAACAUUUCCCAAAAAUAUAUAAAAUUAGAUUAUACUUUAUGGCCCAUUUUUAUACCCUGCAACUUAAGU